UUGGAGUCAACGCCAGAAAUCUUACCCGGAGAGACAGCAGAAUGAAGGUCAAGCUGAAGACUUUACCAGACAAGCUGAGAGGUGGUGCAUGGCCGUCGCCAGCUCGUGCCGUGAGAUGUCCUGUUAAGUCAGGUAACGAGCGAGAUCCCUGCCUCUAGUUGCCACCAUUACUCUCAGGAGUAGUGGGGCGAAUUAGCGGGACCGCCGCAGUUAAUGCGGAGGAAGGAAGGGGCCACGGCAGGUCAGUAUGCCCCAAAACUCUGGGGCCACACGCGGGCUGCAAUGGUAACGACAAUGUGUUCCGAAUCCGAAAGGAAGAGGUAAUCCUCAAACGUUACCACAGUUAUGACUGAGGGCUGCAACUCGCCCUCACGAAUAUGGAAUCCCUAGUAACUGCGUGUCAUUAUCGCGCGGUGAAUACGUCCCUGCUCCUUGCACACACCGCCCGU
Molecule: ribosomal RNA, 449 nt
Filed under: uncultured sediment archaeon
Lineage: Archaea
Description: bacterial SSU rRNA
Rfam family: Archaeal small subunit ribosomal RNA
Source: RNAcentral